This 87-nucleotide transfer RNA is filed under the name Candidatus Kaiserbacteria bacterium RIFCSPHIGHO2_02_FULL_55_17. RNAcentral describes it as "tRNA-Leu". It matches the Rfam family "tRNA". Rfam says of the family: Transfer RNA (tRNA) molecules are approximately 80 nucleotides in length. Their secondary structure includes four short double-helical elements and three loops (D, anti-codon, and T loops). Further hydrogen bonds mediate the characteristic L-shaped molecular structure. tRNAs have two regions of fundamental functional importance: the anti-codon, which is responsible for specific mRNA codon recognition, and the 3' end, to which the tRNAs corresponding amino acid is attached (by aminoacyl-tRNA synthetases). tRNAs cope with the degeneracy of the genetic code in two manners: having more than one tRNA (with a specific anti-codon) for a particular amino acid; and 'wobble' base-pairing, i.e. permitting non-standard base-pairing at the 3rd anti-codon position. RNAcentral also lists the same sequence under 1 other name. The record is from RNAcentral. Lineage: Bacteria; Candidatus Kaiseribacteriota.
GCCGUGGUGGUGAAAUUGGUAGACACGCUAGCUUCAGGAGCUAGUUCCCGCAAGGGAUUGGGAGUUCGAGUCUCCCCCGCGGCACAA